RNAcentral lists this ribosomal RNA (493 nucleotides) under uncultured Massilia sp. Its description in RNAcentral is "partial 16S ribosomal RNA". The record is from RNAcentral. Lineage: Bacteria; Pseudomonadati; Pseudomonadota; Betaproteobacteria; Burkholderiales; Oxalobacteraceae.
CACGUAGUUAGCCGGUGCUUAUUCUUCAGGUACCGUCAUUAGCCAAAGGUAUUAUCCUCAGCCGUUUCUUCCCUGACAAAAGAGCUUUACAACCCGAAGGCCUUCUUCACUCACGCGGCAUUGCUGGAUCAGGCUUGCGCCCAUUGUCCAAAAUUCCCCACUGCUGCCUCCCGUAGGAGUCUGGGCCGUGUCUCAGUCCCAGUGUGGCUGGUCGUCCUCUCAGACCAGCUACUGAUCGUCGCCUUGGUGAGCCUUUACCUCACCAACUAGCUAAUCAGAUAUCGGCCGCUCCAGGAGCAUGAGGUCUUGCGAUCCCCCACUUUCAUCCUUAGAUCGUAUGCGGUAUUAGCGUAACUUUCGCUACGUUAUCCCCCACUCUUGGGUACGUUCCGAUAUAUUACUCACCCGUUCGCCACUCGCCGCCAGGUUGCCCCGCGCUGCCGUUCGACUUGCAUGUGUAAAGCAUGCCGCCAGCGUUCAAUCUGAGCCAGGA